Molecule: ribosomal RNA, 253 nt
Filed under: uncultured bacterium
Lineage: Bacteria
Description: partial 16S ribosomal RNA
Rfam family: Bacterial small subunit ribosomal RNA
Source: RNAcentral
CACGUAGGGCGCAAGCGUUGUCCGGAAUUAUUGGGCGUAAAGAGCUCGUAGGCGGUCUGUUACGUCUGCUGUGAAAACCCGGGGCUUAACCCUGGGCUUGCAGUGGAUACGGGCAGACUAGAGGCAGGUAGGGGAGAAUGGAAUUCCCGGUGUAGCGGUGAAAUGCGCAGAUAUCGUAAGGAAGACCAGUGGCGAAGGCGGGUCUCUGGACAGUUCCUGACGCUGAGGCACGAAGGUCAGGGGAGCAAACGGG